Molecule: ribosomal RNA, 253 nt
Filed under: uncultured bacterium
Lineage: Bacteria
Description: partial 16S ribosomal RNA
Rfam family: Bacterial small subunit ribosomal RNA
Source: RNAcentral
CACGUAGGGUGCGAGCGUUGUCCGGAAUUAUUGGGCGUAAAGAGCUCGUAGGCGGUCUGUUGCGUCCGCUGUGAAAACUCGGGGCUUAACCCCGAGCCUGCAGUGGAUACGGGCAGACUAGAGGUAGGUAGGGGAGAAUGGAAUUCCCGGUGUAGCGGUGAAAUGCGCAGAUAUCGGGAGGAACACCGGUGGCGAAGUCGGUUCUCUGGGCCUUACCUGACGCUGAGGAGCGAAAGCGUGGGGAGCGAACAGG